AUUAAAUAAGUUUUUGAAAGCCAAUGGUGAUAUCCCCUAUAUAGAACUGGCUUGUUAGCUAGUGCCGGUGGCGAAGAACUUAACUGCCCCGUGACCGGUAAAUCCCUGCGAAUUGCCAAGUGGCGAAGAGAGGCUCUACCUAUGAUUUGGCCUGUGGGGAAAAGUGGCUACAAAUCGGUUUGGCGGGAUGUUGGCCUCUCUGUGACAUUACGG
Molecule: non-coding RNA, 213 nt
Organism: Pelobates cultripes (western spadefoot toad)
Lineage: Eukaryota; Metazoa; Chordata; Amphibia; Anura; Pelobatidae
Source: the annotation of a GenBank genome assembly